GUACCCGCUGAACUUAAGCAUAUCAAUAAGCGGAGGAAAAGAAACCAACAGGGAUUGUCUUAGUAACGGCGAGUGAAGCGACAAAAGCUCAAAUUUGAAAUCUGGCACCUUCGGUGUCCGAGUUGUAAUUUGAAGAAGGUAACUUUGGAGUUGGCUCUUGUCUAUGUUCCUUGGAACAGGACGUCACAGAGGGUGAGAAUCCCGUGCGAUGAGAUGUCCAACUCUAUGUAAAGUGCUUUCGAAGAGUCGAGUUGUUUGGGAAUGCAGCUCUAAGUGGGUGGUAAAUUCCAUCUAAAGCUAAAUAUUGGCGAGAGACCGAUAGCGAACAAGUACAGUGAUGGAAAGAUGAAAAGAACUUUGAAAAGAGAGUGAAAAAGUACGUGAAAUUGUUGAAAGGGAAGGGUUUGAGAUCAGACUUGGUAUUUUGUAUGUCUUGCUUUCGGGUGGGGCCUCUGCAGUUUACUGGGCCAGCAUCGGUUUGGACGGUAGGAUAAUGACAUUGGAA
RNAcentral lists this ribosomal RNA (505 nucleotides) under Scheffersomyces shehatae. RNAcentral describes it as "eukaryotic LSU rRNA". It matches the Rfam family "Eukaryotic large subunit ribosomal RNA", at positions 22 to 533 of the family's 3401-position model. The record is from RNAcentral. Lineage: Eukaryota; Fungi; Ascomycota; Pichiomycetes; Serinales; Debaryomycetaceae.